GCACUGCUGAGGAGUCCCAUACUAGGAUGAAACGGCUGUCCCGUAC
Non-coding RNA from Schistosoma margrebowiei, 46 nucleotides. NCBI's taxonomy places the organism in Eukaryota, Metazoa, Platyhelminthes, Trematoda, Strigeidida, Schistosomatidae. The record is from Rfam.